AUGAUAUGAGAAUAUUUGAGAUGUGGGAUGAAGGACAGAUUAUCCCAUCUUCCUGAAAGCAAAUAAAAAGUAUGUCAGACGGACAAGAAAAGAGUGGGACUGGAAGGAGAGAAUUGUGACAAGAUCAACAAAAUCUUUGAACAAUGGAGACAUUUUGCUUUUACACGUUCUGUUAAUUGCCUUCUUGGAAAUUGUCAGUACAAACCACAACAUUGUUAAAUAAUAGGGGGGAUUCAAUAAAGCCUGUACAAUCA
Protopterus annectens (West African lungfish) is the source of this 254-nucleotide long non-coding RNA. RefSeq lists it as uncharacterized. NCBI's taxonomy places the organism in Eukaryota, Metazoa, Chordata, Ceratodontiformes, Protopteridae. The record is from RefSeq and is a predicted model, not a curated record. The transcript is spliced from 2 exons.